This 1135-nucleotide unclassified non-coding RNA is filed under the name uncultured Bordetella sp. RNAcentral describes it as "partial 16S-23S ribosomal RNA intergenic spacer". It matches the Rfam family "Bacterial small subunit ribosomal RNA", at positions 349 to 1499 of the family's 1533-position model. The record is from RNAcentral. Lineage: Bacteria; Pseudomonadati; Pseudomonadota; Betaproteobacteria; Burkholderiales; Alcaligenaceae.
CAGCAGUGGGGAAUUUUGGACAAUGGGGGGAAACCCCGAUCCAGCCAUCCGGGCGUGUGCGAUGAAGGCCUUCGGCCAGUGCCACUUCUUGCAGGAAAGAAACGGCACGGGAUAAUACCCCGUGCAACUGACGGUACCUUGCAGAAUAAGCACCGGCUAACUACGUGCCAGCAGCCGCGGUAAUACGUAGGGUGCAAGCGUUAAUCGGAAUUACCGGGCGUAAAGCGUGCGCAGGCGGUUCGGAAAGAAAGAUGUAGAAAUCCCAGAGCUUAACUUUGGAACUGCAUUUAACUACCGAGCUAGAGGUAACAGAGGGAGGUGGAAUUCCGCGUGUAGCAGAAUGCGUAGAUAUGCGGAGGAACACCGAUGGCGAAGGUACCUGGGAUACACUGACGCUCAUGCACGAAAGCGUGGGGAGCAAACAGGAUUAGAUACCCUGGUAGUCCACGCUCCUAAACGAUUAACCGAUGUUAGCCUUCUAAACAGAAGUACAGCUAACGCGUGAAGUUGACCGCCUCGCUGGGGAGUACGGUCGUAAGAUUAAAACUAAAGGAAUUGAUUUUCGGACCCGCACGCGGUGGAUGAUGUGGAUUAAUUCGAUGCAACGCGAAAAACCUUACCUACCCUUGACAUGUCUGGAAUCCCGAAGAGAUUUGGGAGUGCUCGCAAGAGAACCGGAACACAGGUGCUGCAUGGCUGUCGUCAGCUCGUGUCGUGAGAUGUUGGGUUAAGUCCCGCAACGAGCGCAACCCUUGUCAUUAGUUGCUACGAAAGGGCACUCUAAUGAGACUGCCGGUGACAAACCGGAGGAAGGUGGGGAUGACGUCAAGUCUCAUGGCUCCCAGGUAGGGCUUCACACGUCAUACAAUGGUCGGGACAGAGGGUCGCCAACCCGCGAGGGGGAGCCAAUCCCAGAAACCCGAUCGUAGUCCGAAUCGCAGUCUGCAACUCGACUGCGUGAAGUCGGAAUCGCUAGUAAUCGCGGAUCAGCAUGUCGCGGUGAAUACGUUCCCGGGUCUUGUACACACCGUCCGUCACACCAUGGGAGUGGGUUUUACCAGAAGUAGUUAGCCUAACCGUAAGGAGGGCGAUUACCACGGUAGGAUCUUGCGACUGGGGUGAAGUCGUAAGGUAA